RNAcentral lists this ribosomal RNA (352 nucleotides) under Trachylepis punctatissima (montane speckled skink). RNAcentral's name for it is "partial 12S ribosomal RNA". The record is from RNAcentral. Lineage: Eukaryota; Metazoa; Chordata; Lepidosauria; Squamata; Scincidae.
CCUAAACUUGCCAUUGUUUUUUAUCAAAUUUACACAUGCAAGCUUCAACAACCCAGUGAGAAUGCCCAAAACCCCUAGACAGCCAUAAGGAGCAGGCAUCAGGAUCCAGAAGAAUCUAGCCCAAGACGCCUUGCUACGCCACACCCACACGGGUACUCAGCAGUGAAUAACAUUAAGAAAUGAGCGAAAGCUCGACUUAGUUAUGAUAAACAUGACCGGUAAAUUUCGUGCCAGCCACCGCGGUUAUACGAAAGGCCAAAAACAAUGACCUACGGCGUAAAGCGUGACCAGAGUUCAUCAAAAAUUUUAAAGCGGAACAAUAUUAAAGUUGUAAAACACCUUAAUAAUUAGA